AAGACACUAGUAAAACAUGUUAUUACACUGCCUUGUCGAGGCAGAAUUGUAGGUUAAACUCCUACGUAUCUUG
This 73-nucleotide transfer RNA is filed under the name Psenopsis anomala (melon seed). RNAcentral's name for it is "tRNA-Asp". It matches the Rfam family "tRNA". From Rfam's summary of the family: Transfer RNA (tRNA) molecules are approximately 80 nucleotides in length. Their secondary structure includes four short double-helical elements and three loops (D, anti-codon, and T loops). Lineage: Eukaryota; Metazoa; Chordata; Actinopteri; Scombriformes; Centrolophidae. The record is from RNAcentral.